Molecule: unclassified non-coding RNA, 1403 nt
Organism: Megachile rotundata (alfalfa leafcutting bee)
Lineage: Eukaryota; Metazoa; Arthropoda; Insecta; Hymenoptera; Megachilidae
Source: RefSeq, a predicted model, not a curated record
UCCCAAAAUUUUGUCCAUUUCUUUGAAGUGUAUCUAUUUUCGUAUUUAUUGUUCUUUCAUGUCUCAGCGAUAUUAGUCAUCUAACUGUAACAGUAACAUAAGGUCCAGACGAGUUUAAUGUACCUUAUAUUUGUCACAGACUUUUUGUCCAUACCAUUACUAAUUUCUCGGAAGGGCAGAUGAUUUUUAGUCAUCCAAAGCAUGUAUCAUGUUACUUGCACCUACAAAUGAAUAUCAUAAAAAUUUAUAUGAAAACAUCAUUUAAAUUUUCAUACUACUAUGAAAAUUUUGGAACUUUCAAAUUUAUAAUUUGAAGUGCAAUAAACAAUUAAUCGAAGCAGAGCAUCGAUUUACUUUGUCGCCUCCGGGCUUUCCCCACUCAAAAGUAUGUUCUGUCCCUAGUUUCAUGGCAUACAGAAUAUCAGCUGAUCGCUGUCAAACUUCCGCCACAAAUUUUUUGACGUUUAUAGUUUAUCUAGAUUAAAAUAUUUUGGUAAGAAGUUUACUCACGUAGUACUACCUUUUUCUAUUUUGAAUAAAAAAGGUUUCUUAAAAUUUUAUCAUUGGAAGUAAAGAUAAAUAUAAAAGUGAGGUUAAGAGUUGUAUACAGGGUGUACAGUGAGAUGUUUCUUUAGAUUAGAGGUAAAACUUGCUGUCAAAAUAGGGAAACGAAAGUUAUGCACAAUGUCUCCUGAUCCAACACAAGAACCUGCUGAGGCAACAUUAAAUGCACCAAAUUUGAUACUUGAAAAUGAGAGAAUAAAUGAUUCAGAUAGCGAAGAUGAUGCUGGAAUGGCAGGCUAUGUGCCUUUAUCUCAAAUUCCUGCGGAUAGUGACCCAAUAUUGUAUGAAGAUGAAGAUGAAGAAUGGAUCUCUAAUGCGGGUGAACCCAGUCAAGCAUUACCAGCUCUCUUAGAAUCACAGCAGGAUUAUAUAUUUGAAACACUGGAAGUGUGGUCAUCUCCUUAUAAUCGAUCAAACAUUGAUAUGGAUGCAGAUAAAAUUGAUCAAGUAAAAUCUAUGAUGGCAUCCUUUACCUUACCAACUACGGCAAUUCCAGAAUGGGCAAAGACUAUAUCCGAAGAUCAAUGGAAGGAACAACUCAUUGGACGUAUUAAAGAGAUGCAGAGUAGAGAAAAAUAAAUUUACAUAUUUUAAUUGGUACCUUUACAUGAAAUUAUUAUGUAUAUAAUUUGAUACAAAGGUAGUUCCAGACGUUGUACACCAGAUGUAAAUCAUGUACCCAGGAAUACAUAACAUAGAGGAAAGACCACAAAGCCAUCCUAACAAGUGACUCCACCAUGGAUACUCAUAUAUAAUUAUGGUACAUAACAGCAAAUUUUGUACAAACCACACAAACAGCAGGGGUAGUAACCGUCCAACAUAUCUUCCACCAAUAACAU